CAAUAGCGUAUAUUUAAGUUGUUGCAGUUAAAAAGCUCGUAGUUGGAUUUCUGGUCGGAAGCUCCUGUCCUCUGAUGAGCGUACAAGUGCGUCCUACCAUCCUUCUGUUAACCUUUAAGGCUUUCGCGGCUUUCUAGGGGCUCAGAUAUUUUACCUUGAGAAAAUUAGAGUGUUUCAGGCAGGCUAGCGCCGGAAUACAUUAGCAUGGAAUAAUGGAAUAGGACUUUUGCCUCUUCUGUUGGUCAUGAGGCUCGAGUAAUGAUUAAUAGGGAUAGUUGGGGGCAUUAGUACUUAACUGUCAGAGGUGAAAUUCUCGGAUUUGUUAAAGACUAACUUAUGCGAAAGCAUUUGCCAAGGAUGUUUNCAUUAA
This 370-nucleotide ribosomal RNA is filed under the name uncultured eukaryote. Its description in RNAcentral is "partial 18S ribosomal RNA". It matches the Rfam family "Eukaryotic small subunit ribosomal RNA", at positions 592 to 976 of the family's 1831-position model. The record is from RNAcentral.